This 623-nucleotide ribosomal RNA is filed under the name uncultured archaeon. Its description in RNAcentral is "bacterial SSU rRNA". It matches the Rfam family "Archaeal small subunit ribosomal RNA", at positions 146 to 774 of the family's 1478-position model. The record is from RNAcentral.
AUAAUACUCCAUAGAUUAGAGACACUGGAAUGUUCUUUAGUCGAAAGUUCUGGCGCCUUAGGAUGGAUCUGCGGUCGAUUAGGUUGUUGUUGGGGUAACGGCCCAACAAGCCUGUAAUCGAUACGGGUUGUGGGAGCAAUAGCCCGGAGAUGGAAUCUGAGACAAGAUUCCAGGCCCUACGGGGCGCAGCAGGCGCGAAAACUUUACAAUGCAGGAAACUGUGAUAAGGGAACCCCGAGUGCCCGUAUACGCGGGCUGUCCAGGUGUUUAAAAAUCAUCUGAAGAAAGGGCCGGGCAAGACCGGUGCCAGCCGCCGCGGUAAUACCGGCGGCUCGAGUGGUGGCCACUAUUAUUGGGCUUAAAGCGUCCGUAGCUGGACUGAUAAGUCUCUUGGGAAAUCCGCCGGCUCAACCGGCGGGCGUCUAAGGGAUACUGUUGGUCUAGGGACCGGGAGAGGUGAGAGGUACUCCGGGGGUAGGAGUGAAAUCCUGUAAUCCCCGGGGGACCACCGAUGGCGAAGGCAUCUCACCAGAACGGCUCCGACAGUGAGGGACGAAAGCUGGGGGAGCAAACCGGAUUAGAUACCCGGGUAGUCCCAGCCGUAAACUAUGCGCGUUAGGUGU